Molecule: transfer RNA, 94 nt
Filed under: Impatiens hawkeri
Lineage: Eukaryota; Viridiplantae; Streptophyta; Magnoliopsida; Ericales; Balsaminaceae
Also listed under: 2 other names
Description: tRNA-Ser
Rfam family: tRNA
About the family: Transfer RNA (tRNA) molecules are approximately 80 nucleotides in length.
Source: RNAcentral
GGAGAGAUGGCUGAGUGGUUGAUAGCUCCGGUCUUGAAAACCGGUAUAGUUUUGAAAAAAAGAACUAUCGAGGGUUCGAAUCCCUCUCUCUCCU